This is a non-coding RNA of Oncorhynchus mykiss (rainbow trout), 2851 nucleotides long. Lineage: Eukaryota; Metazoa; Chordata; Actinopteri; Salmoniformes; Salmonidae. The record is from RefSeq and is a predicted model, not a curated record.
UCAUUUUGAGUUUCCGGUAAACUCUUUGUUUCCUUUCAUGUGUCCAACCAAUUAUUAUUGGGUUAUUCACCAUGGCAACCAGUGAAAUGUAUUUCUGAGUUAGGUUGGCUUGUUUUCAGAAUUCACAACGAAAUGCCUCCAGCUGUCCAUCACCACUGUAAAUAUAAAGAGUGGUUAUAGAGGAAAAAACGUCAGAAAGCAAAUUCAGUUGAUGUGGAGCAGAAGACAAGAAAGAAGAAGGAGAGGGGCACUUCAUCCCCCUCUCCAAUUCCAUCUGACCGUUCUGAACGGAAUGGCUCCGCUACCUCUGACCCCUCACCCUCUGACCAACUCUCCUCCCUCCAUCCACCUCCCUCUCCUGUUAAAUGUUCCUCUCAGCCUUGCUCUCCUGCUGAACAACCCUCUGUACCCCGGUCACCUGCCAAAAACCCUUCCCCAGUUAAAUUCUCUCCAGUGGUGUCCCAGCCUAGUUCUCCCUCUCCUACCAACCCUCUGGACCGUCAUGGAGACACCAGUCAGGAGGGCACAACAGUCAGACCUCUGUCUCUUCAGGAACACUCUAGUCCAAUGCCCCAGAGACCAGUCUCAGCCACCAGAAGCAUGACUCUUCCCAGGGCCAGCUCAGCCACCAGAAGCAUGACUCUUCCCAGGGCCAGCUCAGCCACCAGAGGGUCAGAAGAGACCCAGGGGGCCAGAGGAGAACGCGGGGAACUGGUCAACAUGGAACUUCUUGGGUUGCCUAACAUUGGCAACACUUGCUUCCUUAACGCCACCCUGCAGUGCCUCCUGGUCCUGCCUUCCUUCUCAAAGGAAAUCCUGCACCAGGAACAACUCUGGAGCUCCUCCCCCUUCUCCAACCUGCUCAGGUGUCUGUCUGAUGUGCACCGUUCGGGUCUACCUGACAGUGUGGUAAACCAGGCCUCAAAAGCAGACCUCAUGUGGAAGGUCAAGUACUCCUUGUCGGGAUACGAUUUGAAGUAUCUGGGGGACACGCAACAGGACGCACACGAGUUACUUGUCAAUAUGCUGUGCCAGCUGAAGGAGGAGGGCAUGAUUCUGAAGACACUCGGGAUGAACUAUACCUGCCCUGUUUCCCAGCUGGAGUUCCAGCUUGUGUCGGUGCGCACAUGUACCAGCUGUGGGCGCGAGUCGUCCACCAGAGAGGACUACAACCACCUCUCAUUGGACAUCAGCCCUGAGCGCACCUUGCUGAACAGCCUAGCACUCACUUUCAAAAGUGAACAGGUUGAAUUCACAUGUGAGGGCUGUAAAGGCCUCCACGCCUCAAAGGUGGAGCAGUUCCACACACUGCCUCUUGUGCUGGUUCUGCAUCUGAAGAGGUUUGGAGGACCUGGGGGGUUGGAGAAGCUGGAGGCUCCUCUUUUGUUUCCUUCGGAGCUGAGGCUCUCCACCCUCUGUGGGGACAUGGUGCCCCACCUGCACAGUGCCAGCCCACAGGCCCUCACCAACCAGGCCCCCAGCAUCCAGGGGUCCAUCCCCCAGACCCUCGCCAGCCAAGUCUCCAGCCCACCUGGAGAGGCCAAAGACAGCGCCCUCUGCUGUUCAGAAGCAGAAGCCAGUACAGUCAGUGAAUGGUUACUACCAGCUGACUGGCGUAGUCUCUCAUUUGGGAGGCUCCGCAAACUCCGGGCACUACAUUAGUGACAUAUUGCAUGCCAGUGGAAACUGGUUCUGCUGUAACGACAGCCAGGUGUCAAUGUCCAAUGAAGCCACUGUGCUGAGGACCAGAGCCCGGAGUGCCUACAUGCUCUUCUAUAUGUUCAGGGCAAUAGAGCGGGAGGCCCCUGCACACAGGGCCUAACAGGGCCACCAGCAUCAGCCCCAGCCUAAACAGGGGCAGCACCUGGACCAGCCUCAAAACACUCAGACCUGUCUCAACAGGGGUAGUACCAGGCCCAGUCUCAAAACCCCCAGCCCAGCCUCAACACUCACACACCUGCCUCGAAAGGGGUAGCAUUUGGCCCAACAUCAACAACCCAGCCCAGCCUCAACAUGGGAAGAUCAAGACCCAGCCCCAACACCCUCAGACCUGCCUCAACAGGUGCAGCAUUCGGCCCAACUUCAAUCAUGCUGCUCUUCAACACUAGCAUGAACAUUCUUUCAGUAGCUUAUGUCAUAAAUACCUGCCCUUGAUUUGACUACUUCACCUAAUGUAUAAAGCGUAUAAAGUAUACACACUAAAUGUAGUACACAUGUAGAUGUGGUGGAUAGAGAGUGUGAUUAUUUAGAGGGUACAACAUCCCUUCUAUUUGGUUUGGUUUGAAAUCCUCCUGUUGUGAAAUACACUGUGGUGUCUAACCUCUUAUUCAGCAUGGUCACACCGGAAGACCUGGAAUAUUAAUAAUGACAAGCAAAUGUAAGAAAAUCCCAUUUAAGAUGAUUCUGUUGACCGUUGUAACUCUUUAACUCAGGAAGAUUUAUGGUCUGGGAUUCAGGCCGGUCCUAACAGGAAACGUGACAAAGUGAAGCAGCUGUAAUGGAGCCUUCUAACACCCAAUCAGGUCUGGAGGAGGAAUGUCACAAAGAUUCAGAGAUACUAUGAGUAUCUUUUGAAGUUACUCUCCAGUUGUAUCCAUUUGAAUAAAUACAGACAUGAAAAUGCUGGGCUAUGGCUGUAACCUUGGUUCUGUGAGUAGAGUAACGGGUCACCAAACAAGUUAUGGGAACUCUACAUUCUGUCUUUUCUUAUCUCACGUACACUCCCUUACGUAUUUAUUUUGACAGUGAAGCUACAACUUUUCAUUUGGCUCUAUACGCCAGCGUUUUGGAUUGGAGAUCAAAUGUUUCAUAUGGGGUGACUGUACAGAAUGUCACCUUUAAUUUAAUGAAU